UGUGUCGUGUUUGUGAAGAGAUAUUUCUUGCUCGGAAGAAGGAAAGUACACUAUGAUCAGAGGUUUACUGGCUUUUGUUGACAGAUGGGGACAAAAAGAGUCAGUGGGACCACAUUUAAAGAAAAAAAAAAGACACUAUAAGAGAAGGAAAGAGAUAUAUCAAAAAGUCAGAGAGACAAACAUGAUUAAAAAGAGUGAAAAA
Molecule: long non-coding RNA, 202 nt
Organism: Astyanax mexicanus (Mexican tetra)
Lineage: Eukaryota; Metazoa; Chordata; Actinopteri; Characiformes; Acestrorhamphidae
Exons: 2
Source: RefSeq, a predicted model, not a curated record